Long non-coding RNA from Pectinophora gossypiella (pink bollworm), 316 nucleotides. RefSeq lists it as uncharacterized. The transcript is spliced from 2 exons. The record is from RefSeq and is a predicted model, not a curated record. Lineage: Eukaryota; Metazoa; Arthropoda; Insecta; Lepidoptera; Gelechiidae.
AUAGUAUUUUAUGCAACAGUUGUAUAAGAAGGGUCAAAAAAUGCGAGUGGCGUGAGUUGCGAUGUGAGCCUUGGCGAACAUCGCAAUAAGAGACGCCACGAGCAUUUUUUGACCUAGUUAUACAACGUUGCAUACAAUACUUUUUCUACGACGACGUAAUUUUAAACGAAACACAAAAAAAUUCCAAUUUAUUUUCCAACGCGCGGGAAAAUGGCGGCAAAUGUAUACUUUUUUUUUAUAGUAUAUCUAUGGCACCAAACAAAGUAAAGGUGCCAGUUUCCAGGUCAAAAAAAAAAACAACAACAAUGCUUUUUUG